GGGCAGGUAGUCUAGCACGGUAUGAUUCUUGGUUCGGGAUCAAGGGGUCGCGAGUUCGAAUCUCGUCCUGCCCACCA
Molecule: transfer RNA, 77 nt
Filed under: Candidatus Heimdallarchaeota archaeon
Lineage: Archaea; Promethearchaeati; Candidatus Heimdallarchaeota
Description: tRNA-Pro
Rfam family: tRNA
About the family: Transfer RNA (tRNA) molecules are approximately 80 nucleotides in length. Their secondary structure includes four short double-helical elements and three loops (D, anti-codon, and T loops).
Source: RNAcentral